GGCUUAACACAUGCAAGUCGAGGGGCAGCAUGAAGGUUAGCAAUAACCUUUGGAUGGGCCGACCGGCGGCAAGGGUGCGUAACGCGUGAGCAACUUGCCCGUUUCAGGGGGAUAACCGGUGGAAACGCCGACUAAUACCCCAUGGCAUCAUUAGGAGGCAUCUCCUUCUGAUUAAAGAUUCAUCGGUACGGGAUGGGGAUGCGUAUGAUUAGCUUGUUGGCGGGGUAACGGCCCACCAAGGCAACGAUCAUUAGGGGUUCUGAGAGGAAGGUCCCCCCACACUGGAACUGAGACACGGUCCAGACUCCUACGGGAGGCAGCAGUGAGGAAUAUUGGUCAAUGGAGGCAACUCUGAACCAGCCAAGUAGCGUGCAGGAUGACGGCCCUAUGGGUUGUAAACUGCUUUUAUGCGGGGAUAAAUGAUCCUACGUGUAGGAUUUUGCAGGUACCGCAUGAAUAAGGACCGGCUAAUUCCGUG
Molecule: ribosomal RNA, 478 nt
Filed under: uncultured bacterium
Lineage: Bacteria
Description: bacterial SSU rRNA
Rfam family: Bacterial small subunit ribosomal RNA
Source: RNAcentral